This 578-nucleotide ribosomal RNA is filed under the name Trichoderma atroviride. Its description in RNAcentral is "eukaryotic LSU rRNA". The stretch from base 216 to 369 matches the Rfam family "5.8S ribosomal RNA". Lineage: Eukaryota; Fungi; Ascomycota; Sordariomycetes; Hypocreales; Hypocreaceae. The record is from RNAcentral.
UCCGUAGGUGAACCUGCGGAGGGAUCAUUACCGAGUUUACAACUCCCAAACCCAAUGUGAACCAUACCUAACUGUUGCCUCGGCGGGGUCACGCCCCGGGUGGGUCGCAGCCCCGGAACCAGGCGCCCGCCGGAGGGACCAACCAAACUCUUUUCUGUAGUCCCCUCGCGGACGUUAUUUAUUACAGCUCUGAGCAAAAAUUCAAAAUGAAUCAAAACUUUCAACAACGGAUCUCUUGGUUCUGGCAUCGAUGAAGAACGCAGCGAAAUGCGAUAAGUAAUGUGAAUUGCAGAAUUCAGUGAAUCAUCGAAUCUUUGAACGCACAUUGCGCCCGCCAGUAUUCUGGCGGGCAUGCCUGUCCGAGCGUCAUUUCAACCCUCGAACCCCUCCGGGGGGUCGGCGUUGGGGACCUCGGGAGCCCCUAAGACGGGAUCCCGGCCCCGAAAUACAGUGGCGGUCUCGCCGCAGCCUCUCCUGCGCAGUAGUUUGCACAACUCGCACCGGGAGCGCGGCGCGUCCACGUCCGUAAAACACCCAACUUCUGAAAUGUUGACCUCGGAUCAGGUAGAAUCCCCCGC